This 1682-nucleotide small RNA is filed under the name Pyricularia oryzae. RNAcentral describes it as "Magnaporthe oryzae sRNA M_BR32_EuGene_00141691". Lineage: Eukaryota; Fungi; Ascomycota; Sordariomycetes; Magnaporthales; Pyriculariaceae. The record is from RNAcentral.
AAAUUUAAACCCAAAUAUGUUAAACCUUUUAAAAUUUUAUAUAAUGUAGGAAAAUAGGCGUAUUAUUUGGUUUUACUAAUAUAAUUUGAAAAAUUACACGAUAUUUUCCCAAUAUAAUUUUUUAAAUUAUAAAAGCCCAGGGACCCAAACGAUUACAAAAUUAUAUUUUACCCAAAUUUUAAAAAUAAAAAAAAUUGGAACGUGGAAAAAAUUAAAAAUAUAAAUAUUAAAAAUGGGGUUAUUUAUUAUUUAAUUAAAUAAUUUAAUUGGCCAGCAAAAUACAAUUAAUAAAUAUUUAAAAAAAAUUUGUUUGCAAAAAAUAAAAUAAAAUAAUUUUUACGGAAAUAAUCCAAAAAAACCAAACCAAAAGGAAAAUUACUAUUAUAAAAUAAAAACGCAGGGGUAAAACGCACGAAACGUAAAAAGGACCAAAAUUUUUCGAAUUUAAUUAAUAUUAAUAACGUUAAAUAUAAAAAAAAAUUUAUAUUAAAUCCCAAUUUAACCCUAAUAUUUAUUAAAUAAUUCCAAAAAAACACCAAAACGUUUUUUGGGAAAUAUACCAAUCGAAAAUUAAUUUCGUCCAACACCACCAAAUAAAAAUAAACGCGAAAAACGAAAAACUACCUGGUUAAUAAAAAAACGGCCGCCAUAUUGCGAAAUAAAGCGAGGAAAAAUAACGGGGUUUUUAUUAAAACAAAUAAAUUGCAAUUUUUCGUUAUUACGCAAAAUUAUUUGGUUAAUAACGGUCCUGGUGUAAAACGGCCGGGCAAGCGUUUUUACGGGGGCAAUCCUGCGUUUUUUAAAUUUUUGGUGCGCGUAUCCCGAAUUAAAUAUAAUAAUUUUACCAGGCCGAAAAGCAAGGGGAAUACCAAUACCAAAAAAACCAAACGGAAAAAAACUACCAAAAUUUCGAAACCGACCAGAAAUGGGAAAAUAAAUAUAAUCCCGCAUUUGGAAAAACGCAGGAAAAACCCGAAAUUCCUGGGAAAAAACAGGUGAAAAAUCCGGAACGUUACCAUUAUUAAAACCAAAAUUAUUAUUGGAAUUAAUAGGUGCAAAAUCGCCAGGGGAACGAUAAAUUUUUAUUUACGCCAUUUUUUGCUAUUUCCAAUAUAAUUAUAUUUUUUCGAAUUUUAUAUUUAUUAUUUGGAAAACGCGGUAAUAGGAAAAUAAAAACGUAAAUCGAAAAACCGUCAACGUAUAAAACGCGAUACGUUAUUAAACCGUUUGGAAAACGCAAGGGAUUAAUCGAAAAUUUUUUAAAAUAAAAACGUUGGAAUUUACCAAAUUAAAAAACGUAAUUUUUAUAAUUUUAAAAUAAUAAUUUUUAACAAUUUUUAUUUCGUUUAAAAUACGAAAAUAUUUGAUUUUAUUUUUAAACGGGCCAAUUUGGCCCAAACGUUUGCGUUUUUUAAUUUCCAAAUAUUCGGUAAAUAAUAUAAAAUCGACCAAAACCCCAAACAGUUUUUUAAUUUCGGUAGGUAGAUUUUUACCAAUAUUAAAUUGGGUAAUAAAUUCCAUAAUAUCGAAUAAAUAAAAAAAGUCCACGAAAUUACCUUUUAUAAUCGCAAUUACCUAAUAUAAAUUAAUUAAAAAAAUCGCAAAACGGUAAAAAAUAAAAAAACGCAAAAAUAACGCAAUUUACCAAUUUGCAAAUACGUAAAUUUUUUUUAUAAUAAAAA